Phyllopteryx taeniolatus (common seadragon) is the source of this 498-nucleotide long non-coding RNA. RefSeq lists it as uncharacterized. Lineage: Eukaryota; Metazoa; Chordata; Actinopteri; Syngnathiformes; Syngnathidae. The transcript has 3 exons. The record is from RefSeq and is a predicted model, not a curated record.
ACAAUACAUUGUUAAUAAAAUAACUAAAGAUAAUAACCGUUUGUGCAUAUUUUUUGCAUAGCAGGAUCUUUUUAGUGACAAUGAAGACGUUUCAUUUUUGUUUUGCUUGUUGGUGUAGUGUGAACAUGUAUCCACAGGGCGGAGGUAUUUCACCGAUAAUCAACAUUAAUGUUAAAAGCCACCACGAGCAGCUGUACGGUAUCGUGGCUGUACUUUGCUUUUGAACGAGUGUGUUAACGGCAGAGGGGAUGACAGUCAAGUUGGGGAAUUUCUCCUGCAGAACACUGGGUGGUUGCUCCUCCACAUCAAACUCUUCCAGAACCUUGGCCACCUUUCAGAGAGCAAAGGCACGUCAUGAGGCAUUGGAUGUGUAACCCCGAAUUUUCUUACGGUCCCAUGAAGAAGUGGGUCAGUCCGGUGAGAAGUGCCCCCACCGCCAUGAGAACGGAGCCCCCCGCGAUGAGCCUGGGCCGAUGCAUCUUGGCGCCAAAAUGGCUG